GACGAACGCUGGCGGCGUGCUUAACACAUGCAAGUCGAACGGAAAGGCCCUGCUUUUGUGGGGUGCUCGAGUGGCGAACGGGUGAGUAACACGUGAGUAACCUGCCCUUGACUUUGGGAUAACUUCAGGAAACUGGGGCUAAUACCGGAUAGGAGCUCCUGCUGCAUGGUGGGGGUUGGAAAGUUUCGGCGGUUGGGGAUGGACUCGCGGCUUAUCAGCUUGUUGGUGGGGUAGUGGCUUACCAAGGCUUUGACGGGUAGCCGGCCUGAGUGGGUGACCGGCCACAUUGGGACUGAGGUACGGCCCAGACUCCUACGGGAGGCAACAGUGGGGAAUAUUGCACAAUGGGCGGAAGCCUGAUGCAGCAACGCCGCGUGCGGGAUGACGGCCUUCGGGUUGUAAACCGCUUUCGCCUGUGACGAAGCGUGAGUGACGGUAAUGGGUAAAGAAGCACCGGCUAACUACGUG
This 468-nucleotide ribosomal RNA is filed under the name uncultured bacterium. Its description in RNAcentral is "partial 16S ribosomal RNA". It matches the Rfam family "Bacterial small subunit ribosomal RNA", at positions 28 to 507 of the family's 1533-position model. The record is from RNAcentral.